This 70-nucleotide transfer RNA is filed under the name Bos indicus x Bos taurus (hybrid cattle). It matches the Rfam family "tRNA". From Rfam's summary of the family: Transfer RNA (tRNA) molecules are approximately 80 nucleotides in length. Lineage: Eukaryota; Metazoa; Chordata; Mammalia; Artiodactyla; Bovidae. The record is from Rfam by way of RNAcentral.
CCUAUGUUGGCUCAGAGGUUAAAGUGUCUGCCUGGAAUGCAGGAGACCUGGGUUCAAUCCCUGGGUUGGA